UUUGUACUCCCUCCGUCCCAAAAUUCUUGUCUUAGAUUUGUCUAGAUACAUGUCUAGAUACGGAUGUAUCUAAUACUAAAACGUGACUUGAUACAUCCGUAUUUAGACAAAUGUAAGACAAGAAUUUUGGGACGGAGGGAGUAUAUG
This is a non-coding RNA of Triticum aestivum (bread wheat), 147 nucleotides long. NCBI's taxonomy places the organism in Eukaryota, Viridiplantae, Streptophyta, Magnoliopsida, Poales, Poaceae. The record is from Rfam.